UAGGAGCGGUGCCGCGGAUAUUUUGGGAUGGAGGGUUCCGACGGUGUAUGUCGUCUCGUGUUUCGUUGAUCGUUCUGUUUUUGUGUUCGAUCGGCAUCAUCAUUCUCGUUCAUCGGUCCUCGGGUUCGUUCGUUCGUCGGUACAGGUAGCAGUUCGCACGAAACCCGAAGCCACCGCCGAUGCCGGUCUCGGUCUCGUUCGGGCACUAUUCGAUGGUGUGGGUCUUGAGGCUGAGGCACUGGUGGCAGCACUGCCUCUAGUCGGUGUACUCGGAGUUGCCAUUCGUCCGGCGCAUGUUGCCCUCGCUGCAGCCUCCGAAGCUGCGGGAGCAGACACUGUUGCGGCGCGUCUUCGUGCCGCCGAUGUCGCUCGUCUUCCGCAGCAGCAUGGUCGUACUCUCGCCGCGGCCUCCCAUGUCGCGAGUGGUGGUGCUUUCGAGGCACGUCUUCGUGCCACCGAUGCCGCCCGUCUUCUGCAGCAGCAUAGUCGUACCUCCGAUGCUGCGACGGUCGGUGCUGUCGUGGCCGCGUUGCGUCUUCAUACGGAUGCCACUCGUCUUCCGAAUGGUCGUAAUACCCCGACUCCGGGUGGUACUGUCGAGCCGCGUCUUCGUACCGAUACCGCUCGUCUUCCGCAUGCCACCAGUGGUGGUCCUGUCGUUCCAGGUCUUCUCGCCGAUGCCGCCGCUCGUAUGCCGCAUGGUCGUACUUCCGUUAGAGUUCCCCAUGUGGCGAGAGGUAGUCCUGUCGUUCCAGGUCUUCGUGCCGAUGCCGCCGCUCGUCUUCCGCAUGCAGCUGUCGUGCCAGGUCUUCGUGCCGAUGCCGCCGCUCGUCUUCCGCAUGCAGCUGUCGUGCCAGGUCUUCGUGCCGAUGUUGCUCGUGUUCCGCAUGCUCGUACCCUCGCGGCGGCGGCGGGAGGUGGUGCUGUCGAUGCCGCAGCACUUCUUCGUGCUGAUGCCUCCGCUCGUCAUGGUCGUACCGCGACGUCGCCCUCCUAUGCUGCCGCAGGUGGUGCUGUCGAGCCACGUCUUCGUGCCGAUGCCCCUCUUCCGUAUGGUCGUGCCCUCGCUGCGGCCUCCCAUGCCGCCACAGGUGGUGCCGUCGCGCUGCGUCUUCGUGCCGAUGCCGCGACCCGUUUUCCGAAUGCGCGUGCUACGACUACGGCCUCCUAUGCUGCGACGAAAGGUGGUGCCGCCGCGCUUCGUCUGCUUCGUGCCGAUGCCGCCGGCCGUCUACCGAAUGGUCGUGCCACGGCUGCGGCCUCCCAUGCCUCCCAUGUGGUCAUUGUGGUGAAAGAUGGUGCCGCCACACCGCGUCUUGCGCAGCAUGGUCGUUCCCACGCGGUGGCCGCAGCGGCCCAUGCUGUGCGAGCAGGUCUUCGUCGUGCCCCGGAGGCCGCCGGACGUUUUACGCAUGGGCGUCGUUCCCACGCCGCAGCCGCCGCAGCGUCCCAUACUACGAGAAUGGGUUGCGGCACUCUCUCUCUUCGUCGCCAAGUUGGUGCCCACACUCUCACUGCUUCUCUCGCUCCUCCUCUCGCUGACGCUUCUCCUCCACCACCCGGAACGCCGCGGGCCGCCGUGCGUCAUGAUGCGCCGCAUGCUCGCGGUGGUCGUCGAGCCGCCGCCGCCGAUACCGCCGCCCACGCGUGUCGGGUUCUUAGUGUCGAUGAUGACUCGAGGACGCACCACGGGUGGAGGCUGAUGGUCGCACUAUGUUAGGAUGGAUGUCACUAUGAAUAGACGAGUACGAGGACGUACACACAUACGUACGGUCAUAAACCACCUGGAAACGUAACGUUUUCACAGAUUUAUUCUACAUAAAGGUUGAGUAUAGGACGUAGGUGGUAUUCACCGUAGCCAUGUUAUUAAAUGAAAUGUGUUCAAACUAAUAAUCGUACGCGGAGUGAAACGUUGUACGAGAACUACCAGCAGC
Molecule: ribosomal RNA, 1934 nt
Filed under: Triticum aestivum (bread wheat)
Lineage: Eukaryota; Viridiplantae; Streptophyta; Magnoliopsida; Poales; Poaceae
Description: partial small subunit ribosomal RNA
Source: RNAcentral